AAUAAACACUCUUUGCCUUUGCAUACUAUUUGAGUCUAAGGCCUCUUUCAGUGUUUCCUUGGACUUUACUAAGCUCAACAGCAUCAAAAGACAUGCUAUAGUGCAUGGGGAAAAGCCCAGAGGCUUCAAUCCCACCUAGGGAACUACAGAUCCUGGAAAACCUGAAUGGGAUACAGAUCCUGGAUACAGCUGUGUACCACCUGGGAUACAGAUCCUGCACAAAGGUGUGUACUAAUUGCCUGGAUACAGAUCCUGGGAUACAGAUCCUAGUAUACCACCUGCCAGGGAUACAGAUAAUGGACUCCCUGCCUGGAUACAAAUCCUGUCCUACCUGCCUGAGAUACACAUCCUGGAUACAGGUGUGUAUCACCUGCCUGGGUUACAGAUCCUGGACAUAGGUGUGUACUACCUGUCUGGGAUACAGAGGCUGGAUACAGGUGUGUACUCCCUGCCUUGGAUACAGAUCCUGGACUCCCUGCCAGGGAUACAGAUCCUGGAUAAAGAUCCUGGACACAGGUGUGUACUACAUGCUUGGGAUACAGAUCUUGGACUCCCUGCCUGGGACACAGAUCCUGGUUACAGAUAUGAACACAGGUGUGUACUACCUGCCUGGGAUACAGAUCCUGCACUCUGCCUGAAAUACAGAUCCUGGACAAAGGUGUGUGCUACCUGCCUGGGUUACAGAUAAACAAGAAGGCCUCAUCAAACAUGUGGAUAGGAUAAGUAUUUAAAGACAGAGAAAUAUGAAUUAUACACAUUUGCUGAGCACACACAUAUACCUAUUAGGAACCAUUGCACU
Molecule: long non-coding RNA, 799 nt
Filed under: Cricetulus griseus (Chinese hamster)
Lineage: Eukaryota; Metazoa; Chordata; Mammalia; Rodentia; Cricetidae
Description: lncRNA (ENSCGRG00015029792.1)
Source: RNAcentral